This 506-nucleotide ribosomal RNA is filed under the name uncultured bacterium. RNAcentral describes it as "partial 16S ribosomal RNA". It matches the Rfam family "Bacterial small subunit ribosomal RNA", at positions 29 to 523 of the family's 1533-position model. The record is from RNAcentral.
AGUGAACGCUGGCGGUAGGCCUAACACAUGCAAGUCGAACGGCAGCACAGGAGAGCUUGCUCUCUGGGUGGCGAGUGGCGGACGGGUGAGGAAUACAUCGGAAUCUACUCUGUCGUGGGGGAUAACGUAGGGAAACUCACGCUAAUACCGCAUACGACCUACGGGUGAAAGCAGGGGACCUUCGGGCCUUGCGCGAUUGAAUGAGCCGAUGUCGGAAUAGCUAGUUGGCGGGGUAAAGGCCCACCAAGGCGACGAUCCGUAGCUGGUCUGAGAGGAUGAUCAGCCACACUGGAACUGAGACACGGUCCAGACUCCUACGGGAGGCAGCAGUGGGGAAUAUUGGACAAUGGGCGCAAGCCUGAUCCAGCCAUACCGCGUGGGUGAAGAAGGCCUUCGGGUUGUAAAGCCCUUUUGUUGGGAAAGAAACCCAGCUGGCUAAUACCCGGUUGGGAUGACGGUACCCAAAGAAUAAGCACCGGCUAACUUCGUGCCAGCCGCCGCGGUAA